RNAcentral lists this unclassified non-coding RNA (190 nucleotides) under Lactarius tabidus. RNAcentral describes it as "partial internal transribed spacer 1". Lineage: Eukaryota; Fungi; Basidiomycota; Agaricomycetes; Russulales; Russulaceae. The record is from RNAcentral.
GGGGCAUGCGAGGGCUGUCGCUGMCCCAAAAGUCGUGCACGCCCGAGUGUGUCCUCUCGCAUAAUAAUCCAUCUCACCCUUGUGCAUCACCGCGUGGGCACCCUUCGGGAUCAUCUCGGAGGGGGGCUCGCGUUUUCACACAAACCCCCCUUUUAAAAGUGUAGAAUGACCACAUUUAUGCAAUCAAUAC